GACCCAUGGGAGCCCAGGAGUGAGUCUGUGGGGCUGGGACCCACGGCUGGCGGGGAGGGAGGGGGUGUGGGGCGGUGUGGGGCGCCCCAUAGGGAAGGGGGGGCGGUUAUGGGGUGCCCCACAUGUGGGCACCCGUGGUUUGGGGAUUGGGAACUGGAAAUGUUUGGGGAGGGGGUUGUGGGGCGGCUAUGGGGCGCAGUAAGGGGGGGGGGGGGCUAGGGGGCAGGGGGCAAGGGGGGCGGGGGGGGGGGGGGGGGGGGGGGGGGGGGGGCUAUGGGGCACGGCGCAAUGGGGGCUGUGGGGCAGGUGGUUGAUUUGGGUGUGAGGCUAUGGGGCAAAGCGGGGGCGCUAUGGGGCACGGCAUGGGGUGCUAUGGGGCACGGCACGCCUCGCUAUGGGGCAGGGCGGUGGGUCACUAUGGGAUUCAGUGCAGGUGCUAUAGGGCACAGCAGUGGGGCGCUAUGGGGCACGGCACGGUGGGCUGCUGUGGGGCACGCUGUGGGGCACACAAUGGGCGCUAUGGGGCAGGAUAUGGGCACUAUGGGGCACAAUCUAGGUGCUAUGGGGCACACUGGGCGCUAUGGGGUGCUAUGGGGCAGCACAGCAGGCUGCUAUGGGGCACAAUAUGGGCGCUAUGGGGCACACAAGGGGCACUACGGGGCGCUAUGGGGCACAAUAUGGGUGUUAUGGGGCGCUAUGGGGCACAGCACAGGUGCUAUGGGGCUCUAUGGGGUGCUAUGGGGCACACUGUGGGGCGCUAUGGGGCACUAUGGGGCGCUGU
Molecule: long non-coding RNA, 781 nt
Filed under: Anas platyrhynchos platyrhynchos (common mallard)
Lineage: Eukaryota; Metazoa; Chordata; Aves; Anseriformes; Anatidae
Description: lncRNA (ENSAPLG00000028407.1)
Source: RNAcentral